This 253-nucleotide ribosomal RNA is filed under the name uncultured bacterium. Its description in RNAcentral is "partial 16S ribosomal RNA". It matches the Rfam family "Bacterial small subunit ribosomal RNA", at positions 524 to 776 of the family's 1533-position model. The record is from RNAcentral.
UACGGAGGGUGCAAGCGCUGUUCGGAAUCAUUGGGCGUAAAGCGCGUGUAGGCGGCUAUUUAAGUCUGAUGUGAAAGCCCGGGGCUUAACCCCGGAAGUGCAUUGGAUACUGGGUAGCUAGAGGGCGAGAGAGGAGAAUGGAAUUCCUGGUGUAGGGGUGAAAUCCGUAGAUAUCAGGAGUAGCAUCAGAGGCGAAGGCGGUUCUCUGGCUCGUUUCUGACGCUGAGACGCGAAAGCGUGGGGAGCAAACAGG